This 391-nucleotide unclassified non-coding RNA is filed under the name soil metagenome. RNAcentral describes it as "partial contains 5.8S ribosomal RNA, internal transcribed spacer 2, and large subunit ribosomal RNA". The stretch from base 1 to 122 matches the Rfam family "5.8S ribosomal RNA", at positions 35 to 154 of the family's 154-position model. The record is from RNAcentral.
GAUGAAGAACGUAGCGAAAUGCGAUACUUGGUGUGAAUUGCAGAAUCCCGUGAACCAUCGAGUCUUUGAACGCAAGUUGCGCCCGAAGCCAUUAGGCCGAGGGCACGCCUGCCUGGGCGUCACACGUCGUUGCCCCCCCAUCUACUCCUUCGGGAUUGCGGGGGGCGGAUGAUGGCCUCCCGUGCGCCUCGUCGCGCGGUUGGCAUAAAUACCAAGUCCUCGGCGACGCACGCCACGACAAUCGGUGGUUGCGAAACCUCGGUUGCCCGUCGUGUGCGGUCGUCGCGCAUCGAGGGCUCGAAAAAAUUGCCGGGCUCCGGCUCGGUUUUCAACGCGACCCCAGGUCAGGCGGGGUUACCCGCUGAAUUUAAGCAUAUCAAUAAGCGGAGGA